UACGUAGGUGGCAAGCGUUGUCCGGAUUUAUUGGGUUUAAAGGGUGCGUAGGCGGCUUUGUAAGUCAGUGGUGAAAUACGGCAGCUCAACUGUCGAGGUGCCAUUGAUACUGCAGAGCUAGAGUACUGAUGAGGUAGGCGGAAUGGACGGUGUAGCGGUGAAAUGCUUAGAUAUGUGGAGGAACACCAGUGGCGAAGGCGACUUUCUGGGCUGUAACUGACGCUGAGGCGCGAAAGCGUGGGGAGCAAACAGG
RNAcentral lists this ribosomal RNA (253 nucleotides) under uncultured bacterium. Its description in RNAcentral is "partial 16S ribosomal RNA". It matches the Rfam family "Bacterial small subunit ribosomal RNA", at positions 524 to 776 of the family's 1533-position model. The record is from RNAcentral.